Molecule: ribosomal RNA, 388 nt
Filed under: uncultured bacterium
Lineage: Bacteria
Description: bacterial SSU rRNA
Rfam family: Bacterial small subunit ribosomal RNA
Source: RNAcentral
GACGAACGCUGGCGGCGUGCUUAACACAUGCAAGUCGAGCGGUAAGGCCCUUUCGGGGGUACGACGAGCGGCGAACGGGUGAGUAACACGUGGGUGACCUGCCCUCAGCUCUGGGAUAAGCCUGGGAAACUGGGUCUAAUACCGGAUAUGACUCCAUGACGCAUGUUGUGGGGUGGAAAGCCUUGUGCGGCUGAGGAUGGGCCCGCGGCCUAUCAGCUUGUUGGUGGGGUGAGGCCUACCAAGGCGACGACGGGUAGCCGGCCUGAGAGGGCGACCGGCCACACUGGGACUGAGACACGGCCCGGACUCCUACGGGAGGCAGCAGUGGGGAAUCUUGCGCAAUGGGCGAAAGCCUGACGCAGCGACGCCGCGUGAGGGAUGACGGCCU